This is a long non-coding RNA of Oenanthe melanoleuca, 3420 nucleotides long. RefSeq lists it as uncharacterized. Lineage: Eukaryota; Metazoa; Chordata; Aves; Passeriformes; Muscicapidae. The transcript is spliced from 3 exons. The record is from RefSeq and is a predicted model, not a curated record.
AGGAUGCUACAGCGCACUGUUCCUCCUCCUCCUCCUCCUUCUCCCCCUCUUCCCCCGCCGCUCCCCUCCCGCCGCGUCCCCCGGGCUGCGGGCCCGCCCGGCCGCGGGGCUGCGCUGGAGCACGGGCCGGCCAUCCGCGCUUCCUCGCUGCUGCUUCCUGUUCGUUUUCGUUGAUAGCGACUGAGUCGCUCUUCAUACACGCCUGCGAGAUAGAUUGUGGAAAAUUGAGGAGAAUAUUUGGGAUAAAGAAAUGAAAUGCUCGAGGGAAGCUUGAUGCUCCCAAAUGCUUUAGGGAUCUGCAGCUUCUUAACUGCACCAGUAAUUGCAGCUCCCACAGAAUCCUUCCAGAGCUGGAAGGGACAGGGAAGACAAUUCCAGGAGCAGUGGGAAGUGCUUUCUUCGGGGUCUGGACGGCGCUGAGGUUGGAACGAGUUCCCGGUAUUUCUUGUGCCUCUCCUGUUUCCACCCAGGACUAGGUUGGUCUUCCGUAAGUGGCUGCAGUUCCCUGAAGGUGGGAGGAAGCCUGUGCUGGAGAGUGGGAGAAAUGUUCCUGCUGGUUGCUGUGUCCUCAGUGGGCAGAGUUCUCUGACCAUGGCCAGAUGGGUUGUUGCUGUAUCUCUUGGAUGCUGUGCAGAAUGGAAUCAAGCAGCCAAACCUCAGGGUCACCUUCUCCCUGACCCUCUACAUUGCUUGUGUGGCACAGCAGAUGCUGAAGCCAGGUACAGGAACUUCCUGCUUGUGUCUCUGCUGGGGUGGAAAACGGAGCCUUGGGGAAUGUUGAUCUCCUCAGCUGCUCUGUGCUCAUGCACUCUUGACUGAGCUUUUCAUUCUGGGGAAUAGAAGGGGAGGGAUGGCCAGCAAUGUAAUGAGCCUCAGAGCAAAGGCCUUCUGCAGUUCCUGGCCUGUUCUCCCAGCUUGGAACUCUGCGCAGUGCAGCUUCCACUUAUUGCUGUCCAUGGUUGUGGAUUGGGAACAUUGUCCUCCUCCACAGUGCCAGCUUUUUCUCUUCACAGAGGAGCACAUGGACAUAAAGGUAAACCAAUUCCUUCUGUCACACCAGUAUUUAGACCUGAGGAAAGUACCAGAUUUUUUCCAGCUUUUCUACAGUUUUGAUUUUGAGGUAAGAGUACCAUUUUAGGUAUCCAGUAAUUCUUCAGAAAUGUACAGAAAAAAGCCAUUCUUCUCAUUCUUCCGUAGUGGUUAAUUAGAGGCAUCUUUCUUUUUUUCAUAUUGGAAUUAAAAAUGUGAUUUCUCUGGGGCUUUUGUUGUUUUCUUAAUACUAACACACAAUGAAUUGUGCUGUGUAUGCUCUGUGAGCACAAUAAUCAGAAUAUUCUGCCCCAGCUAGCCUACAUUAAUCUUUGAGGUUAGACUAGUAACAUUGAGUUCAACUGAAGUAUUUUAGGAACAGCAACUUCUAAAAUUCCAUUUCCACUGCAUGUUUGGGUUGCAGACUGACUGUUCCUGAUGGAUGUUAAUUAUCAUGCAGGAAAAUCCAUGGCGCUUGUAUUUUCUUUUCUCAGGACUAUGCUAGAUCUGACCAAGCUGACAGAGUUCUUCAGCAACCUCAGCUCUGUGCUGGAAUCCCAUGCUGCUGUUGUUGAGUUUUAGGGAGAUGAGGCGUUUCAUGGCCCAUGACAGCGUCCUGUCCAGCAGGGACCUGCUGCUGCUGCUGCACAAGUGGAGCCUUGUCAGCAAAGACCUGCAGCUGCAGGAGGAGCUGCAGGCCCUAGCCCAGAAGUGCCGAAACAAAGAAUUGCUCAGUAAGUCCUAAAAUACUUCAAGAAAGGCAUAUUUUGUUGCAGCUGUUACAGACCAACAGGACAAGUGAGGCAAACUUCUCUGGAAAUAGUACUAAUACCUUCUGUCAGAUUGAUGUAGCUGGAGGCAGGAGGGAAGGAAAUGGAAAGGCAUUUUUCCAUGGAAGUGGAAAGGUUAGGGCUUUCAUCUCCUUCCCCUGUGAUUUAAAUGGUAUCAAUUGAAGAAAACCCUGCUUUUUCCAUGAUGUCAGGGAGUCCCUAUUUUCCAUUCUUUUCCAGAUCAAAUAGGAGAACCUUGACAAAGCUCUUUUAUGGAUUUGAAUUAAGGAUAACUCCUACAGCUUAAAUUGAGGGGGAACCCCAGUUGUCCCUCCUUUUUAAGGGUUUGAGUUGAGGGGAAAAAAAUCCCCCUUUUUCCAUCAUUGGGGAGAUUUAAAGUGAGGAAAAGCUCUCUUUUCCCAAAAUUUUAGGGGAUUACAUCAAAAAGGAGAAGCCAUUUAUUUGCCAUUGUAUCAGUGGAAGUGGAGGUAACCGCCCCAUUUCCUCUUUUCAAGGGGUUCACUUGAAGGAAGCUCUUUCCUUUUCAGCAUUUUAAGGGUUUAAAAUUGCAUUUCGGGGCAGUUCUUCCUGUACCCUGGUACCAUUCAGGUGAGAGAGAACCUGGCACAUAUGUAACCCUAACAGCCCCCCGGAAUCUAUUAUUUUUCCCAGUUUUAUUUAUAAUGUAGAUAGCCCUAAAUAGAGGUCCCAGUGAGACUUACACCAUUCAUCUCAUUGCUAUUCUUCUCCACCCAACUUAGUCACAUGUGGAGUACUAAGACUAGCAGUCACUAAGGAAUAAUUAUGCAACUUAAUAAAUUAUCCAGCUUAUAUAGCUGUUCUGCUGAAACAUAAAGUUUUACUUCUGACCAGAUUUCUGCCCUUUUGCUGAAAGUAGUUGUAGCAGAAAAGAAAGCAUUGUCAUGUCCCUGAAGUGUUUUCUUCUAUAUUGAAGAAAUACUCACCUUUCUCACCUUGAAUUUAAGUCAGAGGAGCCAAAGAGCUGCAGCUCCUCUGAGACCUUUUAUGCCUUGUGGGAUUUGCUCCUCCUUUUUUGUGGGAAUGAGAGGCGGGCCCAAUUAUAUUAACCCCAUAUUAUAUUAACCCCAGCCUUUGCUAAGGGCCUCUAGGGGAUCCCUUUCACUGCUUCACUCUCUCUUGUUCUUCUUUUUCUUUUUUGAAAUGAAUACUCAAUAUUUAUGUAAUAUCUCUUACUCAAUCCCUCUCCCUGUUCUGUCCUAUUUUUUGCCUCUCUCUCUCACUUGCUGCCUGCAUCUUUAUUUCUCCUUUCUUCCUCUCCUUUUCCCUCUGUCCUGCACCAUGACUGUGUUUCUUUGUCCCUGUCACUGUCCCUUUGCCUGUACCUGGGUGCACCUGCUGCCCAGUGCAAAUAUAUAUGCCAAUUAUAUAUUUGGUUUUUGUUCCCCUGUAUUGUUCUGUGUUUGCACUUGCUGCUGCAUUUCCAUGCCUUGCUCUGUAUGUAAAUUCACCUUUAGCAGCGUGUCCAUGGAGUGUACCUGUAAUUGAAUUGGUACCUGUACUUCCCUUUGUAUACCUUGCUGUCUUUUGCUGUGAAUAAAAACAUUCAUUCAAUAAAGUUAAGUCACCCCUAGUCAGGAUA